RNAcentral lists this ribosomal RNA (443 nucleotides) under uncultured bacterium. RNAcentral's name for it is "partial 16S ribosomal RNA". It matches the Rfam family "Bacterial small subunit ribosomal RNA", at positions 338 to 795 of the family's 1533-position model. The record is from RNAcentral.
CCUACGGUGGCAGCAGUGGGGAAUAUUGGGCAAUGGAGGAAACUCUGACCCAGCAAUGCCGCGUGACUGAAGAAGGUCUUCGUAUUGUAAAGUUCUCUAGUCAGGGAAGAAUAACAUGACUGUGCGUGAAGAAUAAGCUCCGUCUAACUACGUGCCAGCAGCCGCGGGCAUACGUAGGGAGCAAGCGGUGUUCGGAAUGACUGGGCGUAAAGGGUGGGUAGGCGGUUAUACAAGUUAGGAGUGAAAUACCCAGGGCUUAACUCGGGUGGUGCUUCUAAAACUGUAAGGCUAGAGUGCAGUAGAGGUUAGUGGAAUGCCUAGUGUAGCGGUGGAAUGCGUAGAGAUUAGGAAGAACACCAGAGGCGAAGGCAGCUAACUAAGCUGCAACUGACGCUGAGGCACGAAAGUGUGGGGAGCAAACAGGAUUAGAUACCCGAGUAGUC